UACACUCGCACGCGUUUUGGUGCUCGCGCGCGCCGCUCCGGCGUGCGCAGUUAAACGGGAAACAGGGAGCCUGCCUGCGCCGCAGUCGAGCCAACCUGUGCUGCCCCCGCAACGGUAAGCGAACGCGUCGCGCGCAAGCGCCACGCAGCGCCGCUUCGCCGCAUGCCGCGCGCAUGCGGACGACCGCCACUGGAUGCCGCGCGUAUCCGGGAAGGCGAAGCGGCGUGUUCGUCAGCCCGGAUACCGGCCUAAACGUUGGGGUUCAGC
Molecule: non-coding RNA, 267 nt
Filed under: Burkholderia cenocepacia J2315
Lineage: Bacteria; Pseudomonadati; Pseudomonadota; Betaproteobacteria; Burkholderiales; Burkholderiaceae
Source: RNAcentral